RNAcentral lists this ribosomal RNA (253 nucleotides) under uncultured bacterium. RNAcentral's name for it is "partial 16S ribosomal RNA". It matches the Rfam family "Bacterial small subunit ribosomal RNA", at positions 524 to 776 of the family's 1533-position model. The record is from RNAcentral.
UACGUAGGGACCGAGCGUUGUCCGGAUUCAUUGGGCGUAAAGAGCUCGUAGGCGGCUGUUCAAGUCGAACGUGAAAACUCGGAGCUCAACUCCGAGCCUGCGUUCGAUACUGGACGGCUAGAGUCUGGUAGGGGGAUCUGGAAUUCCUGGUGUAGCGGUGGAAUGCGCAGAUAUCAGGAGGAACACCGGUGGCGAAGGCGGCGACCUGGGCCAAUAUUGACGCUGAGGUGCGAAAGCGUGGGGAGCAAACAGG